GGGAGGCUGAAUUUUCCUAAGAGUACGAAUCAAGCGGCUCCUCUACCUGUGAAACGGGGAAUUCGCCUGGUGUGCAUUGGGAUCUAAAGGGAUCUCUGGGAUGUUGUGGCUGGAGAGAGACACAUGUAGAUGGUGUUGGACACUGGAUUUGUCCAUCAGAGCUCAAGGAGUCAGAAGUCACUGUGGAAGGACCAUGGGGGAUAAUUUAAGGAGCUCCAAGACCCCAUCUCACGGCCGGUGACAAGGAGCAACUCCCAGGGGAAGCGAGGGGGCGGCGGAUUCCAGCGAACGUCGAGCGGGAACGAGGCAAGUGUCGCGAGCGGUGAGGACGGGCCUUGUCUUUCUGCAGAGCCAUACCCUUCACCGUGUUCUCCGUGCGCCAGUGUACCCACAUGUGCAAGAGGAAUGGCUGAAUCUAACUACAUGAGCCCAGCUGAGCAGCCCAGAUGAGGGACUUUGGACGCCCCGUGUUCCAGACGGCAUGCCAAAAGGGGGAGGGUCUCGCCACUCACCGGGCACCUGAUAGGCGCAAGAAAUAAACUUCCAUCUCAAGAUUGAGAUUUCAGUCUUGUCACUGCCACAUGGCCUGGCCCGGCCCCGCGAAUAGUCAGAGCGUCAGAAUUAACGGAGCAAUUGCUAUUCUUGAGCUCUUUAAUGUGAGGAAGGAAGAAGCUGUCUCUGGAGCCACGCGGGGCAGCUGAUUGACGCUUUCCCUGACUGUCAUCAUCCAGCACAGAUGGCACUUCCUGUUUGGUAACACCUCACGUGGGCUUCUUCAUCCCCCACUGACUCUGCCAGUCACCAUCCUACACAGUCAAAUGUGCACAGUAUUAGAAGUUUGCCAAGAGCACAUCCUUGUGUCUGCCAAGGAGUGUCUGUUAGAGGAAGAGUAUUCUAGCAGACGAUGUUCAGAGGAGAAAUGGACCACCCCAGGAGGCAGCAAACCCCUGGUCUCUGAGUUUCCUCAUUUGAAAACGGGAGGAAAGAUACUGACCCACCUUGAAGAAUUUCCGUGAGGACCCACUAAGAAGACGGGCUGAAAACAUUUCGAAAACCCUACAAAGACCAAAGUUGUCAUUUCAAGAAGGGAUUCAUUCAGCGGCAGAUAAGUCGCCCAGUUUCGAAUCUUGCUUCUACCUGUCUCUAGCUGCGUGUCCAAGGACGAAACGGAGCAUUUUUUUUUUUUUUGAGAAUUUGUUUUCCAUCUUUAAAAUGGGAGCAAAAGGAAUAUCCACCUCUUAGCAUUUCUGCGAAGAUGGUGUGAAAUUGUGAGCAAGACCAUUCAUUCGCUGAGGAUUCCCUGUUUCUAUCAGCAAUCAUGUAACCAUGCUGUGUUUGGACCAUGCGUGGACAAGGAUGCCUGUAACAUAAAUGGAUUUGUCUAGGCAGCGGGACUCUGACUUCAGAUAGGAGUGUGUGCCGUGGGCUAGGCUGCCGGCAGGUUCAGUCCAAGAGGCAGCCUGCCACAUGAGGAAUGUUUCUGCGUCAUUUCCAAAACAGCUGUGGAAGAUGUCGCUCCGGGCCACCAGUGCGAAAGACCAUGAGAAAACGGCCCGAGCCCUUGAGGAAAGGCGCUCUUUCAUGGUGCACUGGGGUUUGUGAUGUCAGAGCACGAGAGUUGUGUGGUUCACUUUUUGCUUUGGCUUUCCAGAGACCUCGGGCGAAAUUAUAUGCUCAGUUGAAAUAACUAUCGCCAUUAAUUAAGUUUCUUUGGGUUACAAGUGGCAGAAACCCAGCCCAGACACCUUCAAAUAAAAAGAUAAUUUAUCAGGUUAA
This is a long non-coding RNA of Felis catus (domestic cat), 1776 nucleotides long. RefSeq lists it as uncharacterized. The record is from RefSeq and is a predicted model, not a curated record. The transcript is spliced from 9 exons. Lineage: Eukaryota; Metazoa; Chordata; Mammalia; Carnivora; Felidae.